CAAGGUGCCUAUACCCGAGCAAAUACACCUAAUCUCAUCUGAACAUGGAAGCUAAGCAGUCCUGGGCUGGGUUCAUAGUUGGAUAGGAGGCUCCCGUGCAUCUCCAACACCUGGG
Alligator mississippiensis (American alligator) is the source of this 115-nucleotide non-coding RNA. Lineage: Eukaryota; Metazoa; Chordata; Crocodylia; Alligatoridae. The record is from Rfam.